This 468-nucleotide ribosomal RNA is filed under the name uncultured bacterium. RNAcentral's name for it is "partial 16S ribosomal RNA". It matches the Rfam family "Bacterial small subunit ribosomal RNA", at positions 28 to 507 of the family's 1533-position model. The record is from RNAcentral.
GACGAACGCUGGCGGCGUGCUUAACACAUGCAAGUCGAACGGAAAGGCCCUGCUUUUGUGGGGUGCUCGAGUGGCGAACGGGUGAGUAACCCGUGAGUAACCUGCCCUUGACUUUGUGAUAACUUCAGGAAACUGGUGCUAAUACCGGCUAGGAGCUCCUGCUGCAUGGUGGGGGUUGGAAAGUCUCGGGGGUGGGGGGUCUACUCGCGGCUUAUCAGCUUGUUGGUGGGGUAGUGGCUUACCAAGGCUUUCACGGGUAGCCGGCCUGAGAGGGUGACCGGCCACACUGGGACUGAGAUACGGCCCAGACUCGUACGGGAGGCAGCAGUGGGGAAUAUUGCACAAUGGGCGGAAGCCUGAUGCAGCAACGCCGCGUGCGGGAUGACGGCUUUCGGGUUGUAAACCGCUUUCGCCUGUGACGAAGCGUGAGUGACGGUAAUGGGUAAAGAAGCACCGGCUAACUACGUG